This 505-nucleotide ribosomal RNA is filed under the name uncultured bacterium. Its description in RNAcentral is "partial 16S ribosomal RNA". It matches the Rfam family "Bacterial small subunit ribosomal RNA", at positions 28 to 507 of the family's 1533-position model. The record is from RNAcentral.
GACGAACGCUGGCGGCGUGCCUAAUACAUGCAAGUAGAACGCACAGUUUAUACCGUAGCUUGCUACGCCAUAGACUGUGAGUUGCGAACGGGUGAGUAACGCGUAGGUAACCUGCCUGGUAGCGGGGGAUAACUAUUGGAAACGAUAGCUAAUACCGCAUAAUAUUGAUUAUUGCAUGAUAAUUGAUUGAAAGAUGCUAUUGCAUCACUACCAGAUGGACCUGCGUUGUAUUAGCUAGUAGGUGAGGUAACGGCUCACCUAGGCGACGAUACAUAGCCGACCUGAGAGGGUGAUCGGCCACACUGGGACUGAGACACGGCCCAGACUCCUACGGGAGGCAGCAGUAGGGAAUCUUCGGCAAUGGACGAAAGUCUGACCGAGCAACGCCGCGUGAGUGAAGAAGGUUUUCGGAUCGUAAAGCUCGGUUGUAAGAGAAGAACGGGUGUGAGAGUGGAAAGUUCACACUGUGACGGUAUCUUACCAGAAAGGGACGGCUAACUACGUG